RNAcentral lists this small nucleolar RNA (107 nucleotides) under Vanderwaltozyma polyspora DSM 70294. Its description in RNAcentral is "Small nucleolar RNA snR66". It matches the Rfam family "Small nucleolar RNA snR66". Rfam says of the family: snR66 is a member of the C/D class of snoRNA which contain the C (UGAUGA) and D (CUGA) box motifs. The record is from Rfam by way of RNAcentral. Lineage: Eukaryota; Fungi; Ascomycota; Saccharomycetes; Saccharomycetales; Saccharomycetaceae.
AUCUUUUUUAAUAUGAUGAAAUACCAAUGCAACAUAGAGUCAAGCUCUGAGCCAUAAAAUACUUGGCAUGGACGAGACUUGCUAUUUUAUUAACUGACUAAUUAGAA